CCAACAGGGAUUGCCUCAGUAACGGCGAGUGAAGCGGCAACAGCUCAAAUUUGAAAUCUGGCCCCAGGCCCGAGUUGUAAUUUGCAGAGGAUGCUUCGGGCGCGGUGCCUUCCAAGUCCCCUGGAACGGGGCGCCACAGAGGGUGAGAGCCCCGUCAGGUCGGCCGCCAAGCCUAUGUGAAGCUCCUUCGACGAGUCGAGUAGUUUGGGAAUGCUGCUCUAAAUGGGAGGUAGACCCCUUCUAAAGCUAAAUACCGGCCAGAGACCGAUAGCGCACAAGUAGAGUGAUCGAAAGAUGAAAAGCACUUUGAAAAGAGGGUUAAACAGUACGUGAAAUUGUUGAAAGGGAAGCGCUUGUGACCAGACGUGCGCCGGGCGCUCAGCGGGCGUUCUCGCCCGUGCACUCGCCCCGGCGCAGGCCAGCGUCGGUUCGGGAGGGGGGACAAAGGCAUCAGGCACGUAGCUCCCCCGGGAGUGUUAUAGCCUGGCGCGCCAUGCCCCCGCCUGGACCGAGGUUCGCGCUCCGCAAGGACGCUGGCGUAAUGGUCCCCAGCGGCCCGUCUUGAAACACGGACCAAGGAGUCGAGGUUUUGCGCGAGUGUUUGGGUGUCAAACCCGCACGCGUAAUGAAAGUGAACGCAGGUGGGAGCUUCGGCGCACCACCGACCGAUCCUGAUGUUCUCGGAUGGAUUUGAGUAGGAGCGUAGGGCCUCGGACCCGAAAGAUGGUGAACUAUACUUGGAUAGGGUGAAGCCAGAGGAAACUCUGGUGGAGGCUCGCAGCGGUUCUGACGUGCAAAUCGAUCGUCAAAUCUGAGUAUGGGGGCGAAAGACUAAUCGAACCAU
This 844-nucleotide ribosomal RNA is filed under the name unidentified. RNAcentral describes it as "Pseudolachnella yunnanense partial large subunit ribosomal RNA". It matches the Rfam family "Eukaryotic large subunit ribosomal RNA", at positions 65 to 943 of the family's 3401-position model. The record is from RNAcentral.